GAUAAACGCUCGCGGCGUGCUUAACACAUGCAAGUCGAACGAAGUUUUUCCUUCGGGAGACACUUAGUGGCGGACGGGUGAGUAACGCGUGGGUAACCUGCCCUGUACAGGGGGACAACAGCUGGAAACGGCUGCUAAUACCGCAUAAGCCCUUAGCACUGCAUGGUGCAUAGGGAAAAGGAGCAAUCCGGUACAGGAUGGACUCGCGUCUGAUUAGCCAGUUGGCAGGGUAACGGCCUACCAAAGCGACGAUCAGUAGCCGAUCUGAGAGGAUGUACGGCCACAUUGGGACUGAGACACGGCCCAGACUCCUACGGGAGGCAGCAGUGGGGAAUAUUGCACAAUGGAGGAAACUCUGAUGCAGCGACGCCGCGUGAGUGAAGAAGUAUUUCGGUAUGUAAAGCUAUAUCAGCAGGGAAGAAAAUGACGGUACCUGACUAAGAAGCACCGGCUAAAUACGUG
This 462-nucleotide ribosomal RNA is filed under the name uncultured bacterium. RNAcentral describes it as "partial 16S ribosomal RNA". It matches the Rfam family "Bacterial small subunit ribosomal RNA", at positions 28 to 507 of the family's 1533-position model. The record is from RNAcentral.